Cytidiella melzeri is the source of this 101-nucleotide non-coding RNA. The record is from the annotation of a GenBank genome assembly. NCBI's taxonomy places the organism in Eukaryota, Fungi, Basidiomycota, Agaricomycetes, Polyporales, Irpicaceae.
GGACCCCUAGCUCAGUGGUAGAGCAUAUGAUUCCAGUGCUGCCGUCUGUCCAGCCUGCGUCUGCAUCCAUAAGGUCGUCCGUUCAAUCCGGGCGGGGUUCA